ACGGAAGGCAGCAGUGGGGGAUAUUGCACAAUGGGGGAAACCCUGAUGCAGCGACGCCGCGUGAGUGAAGAAGUAUUUCGGUAUGUAAGGCUCUAUCAGCAGGGAAGAAAAUGACGGUACCUGACUAAGAAGCUCCGGCUAAAUACGUGCCAGCAGCCGCGGUAAUACGUAUGGAGCAAGCGUUAUCCGGAUUUACUGGGUGUAAAGGGAGCGUAGACGGUUUGCCAAGUCUGAUGUGAAAGCUUGGGGCUCAACCCCGAAACUGCAUUGGAAACUGGUAGACUAGAGUGUCGGAGAGGUAAGUGGAAUUCCUAGUGUAGCGGUGAAAUGCGUAGAUAUUAGGAGGAACACCAGUGGCGAAGGCGGCUUACUGGACGAUAACUGACGUUGAGGCUCGAAAGCGUGGGGAGCAAACAGGAUUAGAUACCCUGGUA
This 434-nucleotide ribosomal RNA is filed under the name uncultured Lachnospiraceae bacterium. Its description in RNAcentral is "partial 16S ribosomal RNA". It matches the Rfam family "Bacterial small subunit ribosomal RNA", at positions 341 to 792 of the family's 1533-position model. The record is from RNAcentral. Lineage: Bacteria; Bacillati; Bacillota; Clostridia; Lachnospirales; Lachnospiraceae.